GCAAACUCGAAGACCAGAUUGAUAUGACCACACCAUCGAUGAAAAUUGCAAGGUGGAUCAAGUACCAUGGUCCUCAACGUUCUUGCACUUUAAAGGGAUGUUGAUGUUGUGUGAUAGGGCUCUGCUUCCAAGGAAUCCUCAGAAUCGCUUGCAGCCAUGUCGAUUGUCACCCGCCAAAAUAAUACUCAUCCCACGUAUGAUUUUGAGGCCACUUUACCGAUGAUUUUGAAUUAAUGUCCCUCCGAAAAUAUCUGAAGCAAACUGACAAACAUUAUGAUGUUGAAUUAAUGUCCCUCCGAAAAUAUCUGAAGCAAACUGACAAACAUUUUCGAUACCCCCUUUCUGAUCGCCUGCUCUGGAAUUAUGUCACCAGCUGCACUCAUUUGAUCGCAUUCUUGCCGUCGCCUUGUCAGAGUCUUGCCAUUGGCUUAUCAACUCAUUGCCGGCAUCUUGAUGAUCUCUCUAUUCAGCAUAAGAGGAACGUCAUUCUGAAUGGAGAUGAAGCUAACAAACAGCUAGAGGGAGGUAUUGAAAGUAUCAGGGGGCUUCCUGCACAAUGA
Molecule: long non-coding RNA, 560 nt
Filed under: Bemisia tabaci
Lineage: Eukaryota; Metazoa; Arthropoda; Insecta; Hemiptera; Aleyrodidae
Description: lncRNA ENSSSA2NGG006536
Source: RNAcentral